GMGGCCGCUCUGGUUUUUCCGGCGGAGGUUACUGCUAUCGAGGUCCGACUAAGCCAUGCGAGUCGAAUGUAGCAAUACAUGGCGUACUGCUCAGUAACACGUGGACAGCCUACCCUCAGCACGGGGAUGAACCUGGGAAACUGGGUAUAUACCCGAUAGUUCUGGGAAGCUGGAAUGCUUCCAGGACGAAAGCUCCGGCGACUGAGGAUGGGUCUGCGGCCUAUCAGGUAGUAGUGGGUGUAAUGUACCUACUAGCCUACGAAGGGUACGGGUUGUGAGAGCAAGAGCCCGGAGAUGGAUUCUGAGACACGAAUCCAGGCCCUACGGGGUGCAGCAGGCGCGAAAACUUUACAAUGCUGGCAACAGCGAUAAGGGAACCUCGAGUGCCAGGUUACAAAUCUGGCUGUCGUGAUGCCUAAAAAGCAUUGCAUAGCAAGGGCCGGGCAAGACCGGUGCCAGCCGCCGCGGUAACACCGGCGGCUCGAGUGGUAACCGUUAUUAUUGGGUCUAAAGGGUCUGUAACCGGCCAGAUAAGUCUCUUGGGAAAUCCGGCAGCUCAACCUGUCGGGCUUUCAGGAGAUACUGUCUGGCUCGAGGCCGGGAGAGGUGAGAGGUACUUCAGGGGUAGGGGUGAAAUCUUGUAAUCCUUGAAGGACCACCAGUGGCGAAGGCGUCUCACCAGAACGGACCUGACGGCAAGGGACGAAAGCUAGGGGCACGAACCGGAUUAGAUACCCGGGUAGUCCUAGCCGUAAACGAUACUCGCUAGGUGUCGGCCACGGUGCGACCGUGGUCGGUGCCGUAGGGAAGCCGUGAAGCGAGCCACCUGGGAAGUACGGCCGCAAGGCUGAAACUUAAAGGAAUUGGCGGGGGAGCACCACAACGGGUGGAGCUUGCGGUUUAAUUGGAUUCAACGCCGGAAAUCUUACCGGGACCGACAGCAAGAUGAAGCCCAGGCUGAAGACUUUGCCGGAUUAGCUGAGAGGUGGUGCAUGGCCGUCGUCAGUUCGUACUGCGAAGCAUCCUGUUAAGUCAGGCAACGAGCGAGACCC
Molecule: ribosomal RNA, 1052 nt
Filed under: uncultured archaeon
Lineage: Archaea
Description: bacterial SSU rRNA
Rfam family: Archaeal small subunit ribosomal RNA
Source: RNAcentral